UAGUCACGCGUAAACGAUGAGUGCUAAGUGUUAGGGGGUUCCGCCCCUUAGUGCUGCAGCUAACGCAUUAAGCACUCCGCGUGGGGAGUACGACCGCAAGGUUGAAACUCAAAGGAAUUGACGGGGGCCCGCACAAGCGGUGGAGCAUGUGGUUUAAUUCGAAGCAACGCGAAGAACCUUACCAGGUCUUGACAUCCUUUGACAACUCUAGAGAUAGAGCUUUCCCUUCGGGGACAAAGUGACAGGUGGUGCAUGGUUGUCGUCAGCUCGUGUCGUGAGAUGUUGGGUUAAGUCCCGCAACGAGCGCAACCCUUAUUGUUAGUUGCCAUCAUUCAGUUGGGCACUCUAGCGAAACUGCCGGUGACAAACCGGAGGAAGGUGGGGAUGACGUCAAAUUAUCAUGCCCCUUAUGACCUGGGCUACACACGUGCUACAAUGGACAGUACAAUGAGCAGCGACACGGCGACGUGAAGCGAAUCUCAUAAAGCUGUUCUCAGUUCGGAUUGUAGGCUGCAACUCGCCUACAUGAAGCCGGAAUCGCUAGUAAUCGCGGAUCAGCACGCCGCGGUGAAUACGUUCCCGGGCCUUGUACACACCGCCCGUCACACCACGAAAGUUUGUAACACCCAAAGUCGGUGAGGUAACCUUCGGGAGCCAGCCGCCUAAGGUGGGAUAGAUGAUUGGGGUGAAGUCGUAACAAGGUAACCA
Molecule: ribosomal RNA, 708 nt
Filed under: uncultured Vagococcus sp.
Lineage: Bacteria; Bacillati; Bacillota; Bacilli; Lactobacillales; Enterococcaceae
Description: bacterial SSU rRNA
Rfam family: Bacterial small subunit ribosomal RNA
Source: RNAcentral